AUGAAGAGAUUCUGCCCUCUCUGGGGAUAGU
This 31-nucleotide non-coding RNA is filed under the name Homo sapiens (human). Lineage: Eukaryota; Metazoa; Chordata; Mammalia; Primates; Hominidae. The record is from RNAcentral.